Molecule: non-coding RNA, 87 nt
Filed under: Anaerobacillus isosaccharinicus
Lineage: Bacteria; Bacillati; Bacillota; Bacilli; Caryophanales; Bacillaceae
Also listed under: 1 other name
Description: Anaerobacillus sp. NB2006 c-di-GMP-I riboswitch aptamer
Rfam family: c-di-GMP-I riboswitch aptamer
About the family: GEMM was predicted in a large-scale screen for bacterial structured RNA regulatory elements. Genes associated with GEMM are involved in a diverse array of functions, including chemotaxis regulation, signal transduction, secretion and chitin.
Source: Rfam by way of RNAcentral
CCAAUGAAACGGCAAACUUACUGAAAGGUAAGGACGCAAAGCUCCAGACCUACAGGUAGAAAUUACUAUGGUGGCUGAGUUACCAAA